UACGUAGGGGGCAAGCGUUGUCCGGAUUUACUGGGCGUAAAGCGCGCGUAGGCGGAAGCUCAAGUCUGGCCUGAAAGCCCCCGGCUCAACCGGGGAGUGGGGCUGGAAACUGGGUUUCUUGAGGGCGAUAGAGGAGUGUGGAAUUCCUGGUGUAGCGGUGAAAUGCGUAGAGAUCAGGAGGAACACCGGUGGCGAAGGCGGCGUCCUGGACCAACACUGACACUGAAAAGCGAAAGCCAGGGGAGCAAACGGG
Molecule: ribosomal RNA, 253 nt
Filed under: uncultured bacterium
Lineage: Bacteria
Description: partial 16S ribosomal RNA
Rfam family: Bacterial small subunit ribosomal RNA
Source: RNAcentral